Molecule: ribosomal RNA, 461 nt
Filed under: uncultured bacterium
Lineage: Bacteria
Description: partial 16S ribosomal RNA
Rfam family: Bacterial small subunit ribosomal RNA
Source: RNAcentral
CCUACGGGUGGCAGCAGUGAGGAAUAUUGGUCAAUGGCCGGAAGGCUGAACCAGCCAUGCCGCGUGAAGGUCAGUUCCCUAUGGGCGUUAAACUUCUUUUGUUCGGGAGCAAUAGUGGUCACGUGUGGCCAGACGAGAGUAACGUACGAAUAAGCAUCGGCUAACUCCGUGCCAGCAGCCGCGGUAAUACGGGGGAUGCAAGCGUUAUCCGGAUUUAUUGGGGUUAAAGGGUGCGUAGGCUGGGAGGUAAGUCAGAGGUGAAAUGCCAGCGCUCAACGGGGUGAAGUGCCAUUGAUACUGGCUUGCUGGAAUGCGGAUGCAGUGGGACGAAUGUGGGGUGGAGCGGUGAAAUGCAUAGAUAUCAAACAGAACACCGGUUGCGAAGGCAUCUCACGAAUCCGCGAUUGACGAUGAUGCACGAAAGCGUGGGUAUCAAACAGGAUUAGAUACCCCUGGUAGUC